AUUGCGCAUGCGCGCGCCCCGGCGGCGCGGGUCUGGGUCUGGGUCUGGGGAUGUGGUGCCGGCUGCCGGCGACCGCCGGCAGUAGAGCGGUGGCCAGGCCGCUGGCCUUGCUCUGGCGAUGUGGUGGCCCAGGAGGUGGCAGGACGGUCAAGACCAGCGCGAGGGUCCUGGGCAGGGCCCGACAGUGGUUGUGGCCAGUGAGAAUGUGCAGUGUUGUAUUGCAGAAGAAGCUAAUAAGCUUAUCUGGUCUCUUGUUUCAGUGCCUCUAGGGGAUCCACGUUCAGAAGCUGACUCUGCAGGCGAGACCAACGUUAUUUUCCCGGUGGCUGUGUUCAAAACCACCCAAAGGGUUUGAGAAAUACUUUAAGAGGAGUGGAAGGAACAAACUCAGAAACAUCAACAGCACCAAAAAAAGUUGUUGGAGUAGCACUAUAUUUGUGAAGGGGACAGUGUCAUGGCUUACUUGUCCUAGAACAUUACAGGAAGAGGCUGGUAGGUCCGUGGGUCACAAGUGUACGUAGGAGGCCAGAUUUUUUGGAGGAGAGGCAGACUCUGCUUA
RNAcentral lists this small RNA (559 nucleotides) under Pongo abelii (Sumatran orangutan). RNAcentral's name for it is "processed transcript". The record is from RNAcentral. Lineage: Eukaryota; Metazoa; Chordata; Mammalia; Primates; Hominidae.